Long non-coding RNA from Humulus lupulus (European hop), 306 nucleotides. RefSeq lists it as uncharacterized. The transcript has 3 exons. NCBI's taxonomy places the organism in Eukaryota, Viridiplantae, Streptophyta, Magnoliopsida, Rosales, Cannabaceae. The record is from RefSeq and is a predicted model, not a curated record.
CACUUUAUUUUUUAGAGUUUUGGCCUUGGAUGGAUUGUUGGGUUAUGGCCAUUAUUUUGGGCCCUAUUCAUCAGUUUUGCAUUGGGAACUGCUUAUUCAAUCAAUGUGCCCCUUUUGAGAUGGAAGAGAUUUGCUUUAGUUGCAGCAAUGUGCAUUCUCGCAGUUCGAUCAGUGAUUGUUCAACUAGCUUUUUUUCUUCACAUGCAGACCCAUGUCUUUAAAAGGCCAGCUGCCUUCUCAAGGCCUCUCAUCUUUGCAACUGCAUUUAUGAGCUUCUUCUCAGUUGUUAUAGCAUUAUUUAAGGUA